RNAcentral lists this ribosomal RNA (492 nucleotides) under uncultured bacterium. Its description in RNAcentral is "partial 16S ribosomal RNA". It matches the Rfam family "Bacterial small subunit ribosomal RNA", at positions 29 to 507 of the family's 1533-position model. The record is from RNAcentral.
AGUGAACGCUGGCGGUAGGCCUAACACAUGCAAGUCGAACGGCAGCACAGUAAGAGCUUGCUCUUACGGGUGGCGAGUGGCGGACGGGUGAGGAAUACAUCGGAAUCUACUUUUUCGUGGGGGAUAACGUAGGGAAACUUACGCUAAUACCGCAUACGACCUACGGGUGAAAGCAGGGGAUCUUCUGACCUUGCGCGAUUGAAUGAGCCGAUGUCGGAUUAGCUAGUUGGCGGGGUAAAGGCCCACCAAGGCGACGAUCCGUAGCUGGUCUGAGAGGAUGAACAGCCACCCUGGAACUGAGACACGGUCCAGACUCCUACGGGAGGAAGCAGUGGGGAAUCUUGGACAAUGGGCGAAAGCCUGAUCCAGCAAUACCGCGUGGGUGAAGAAGGCCUUCGGGUUGUAAAGCCCUUUUGUUGGGAAAGAAAAGCAGCAGGUUAAUACCCCGCUGUUCUGACGGUACCCAAAGAAUAAGCACCGGCUAACUUCGUG